UGCAAGUCGAACGGUGAAGGAGAGCUUGCUCUCUGGAUCAGUGGCGAACGGGUGAGUAACACGUGAGCAAUCUGCCCCUGACUCUGGGAUAACAGUUGGAAACAGCUGCUAAUACCGGAUACGAGCUUCGAAGGCAUCUUCAGAAGCUGGAAAGAACUUCGGUCAGGGAUGAGCUCGCGGCCUAUCAGCUAGUUGGUGAGGUAAUGGCUCACCAAGGCGUCGACGGGUAGCCGGCCUGAGAGGGUGACCGGCCACACUGGGACUGAGACACGGCCCAGACUCCUACGGGAGGCAGCAGUGGGGAAUAUUGCACAAUGGGCGCAAGCCUGAUGCAGCAACGCCGCGUGAGGGACGACGGCCUUCGGGUUGUAAACCUCUUUUAGCAGGGAAGAAGCGAAAGUGACGGUACCUGCAGAAAAAGCGCCGGCUAACUACGUGCCAGCAGCCGCGGUAAUACGUAGGGCGCAAGCGUUAUCCGGAAUUAUUGGGCGUAAAGAGCUCGUAGGCGGUUUGUCGCGUCUGCUGUGAAAACUGGAGGCUCAACCUCCAGCCUGCAGUGGGUACGGGCAGACUAGAGUGCGGUAGGGGAGAUUGGAAUUCCUGGUGUAGCGGUGGAAUGCGCAGAUAUCAGGAGGAACACCGAUGGCGAAGGCAGAUCUCUGGGCCGUAACUGACGCUGAGGAGCGAAAGGGUGGGGAGCAAACAGGCUUAGAUACCCUGGUAGUCCACCCCGUAAACGUUGGGAACUAGUUGUGGGGUCCAUUCCACGGAUUCCGUGACGCA
RNAcentral lists this ribosomal RNA (783 nucleotides) under Microbacterium sp. ER-24. Its description in RNAcentral is "bacterial SSU rRNA". It matches the Rfam family "Bacterial small subunit ribosomal RNA", at positions 56 to 850 of the family's 1533-position model. The record is from RNAcentral. Lineage: Bacteria; Bacillati; Actinomycetota; Actinomycetes; Micrococcales; Microbacteriaceae.